This 253-nucleotide ribosomal RNA is filed under the name uncultured bacterium. Its description in RNAcentral is "partial 16S ribosomal RNA". It matches the Rfam family "Bacterial small subunit ribosomal RNA", at positions 524 to 776 of the family's 1533-position model. The record is from RNAcentral.
UACGUAGGGUGCAAGCGUUGUCCGGAAUUAUUGGGCGUAAAGAGCUCGUAGGCGGUCUGUCGCGUCUGCUGUGAAAACUCAGGGCUUAACCCUGAGCUUGCAGUGGGUACGGGCAGACUAGAGUGCGGUAGGGGAGACUGGAAUUCCUGGUGUAGCGGUGAAAUGCGCAGAUAUCAGGAAGAACACCCGUGGCGAAGGCGGUUCUCUGGGACGGUACUGACGCUGAGACGCGAAAGCGUGGGGAGCAAACAGG